CAUGUACGGGCAGUAAGUCAGAAGACUGAAGAUGUUCCGGAAGCCAUAAAAGGAAAACCCCCACUAUCUUUCUUACGAACUUGGCGGAACGACGAAAGAUAGUGGGGGCCUCACAGAAU
This 119-nucleotide unclassified non-coding RNA is filed under the name Plasmid incI-1. The stretch from base 50 to 119 matches the Rfam family "Pseudoknot of the regulatory region of the repZ gene", at positions 1 to 70 of the family's 150-position model. The record is from RNAcentral.